AAAGCUUGAAAACUAAGAGCAAUUGCCUGUCAUAUGUCUCAAGCAUCCGCUGUCCAAGUACCAUUUGUUCUUUCUCUUCUUUGAUCCCUGCAAAAGAAAUCUCAAGUUUUAGGUAUCCAAAGAUUUUUGGGUCUUUGAGCGUUAGCAAUGGUUAAUUUUAGAACCCAAGUACAUUUGAUUCCAUAAUAUGCAUUUCUCUUAACUGGAAAUCUAUAACUCAUGUGACCAUUUCUAUUGCAAUAAUAGCAUACAAUUUGAUCAUUAAUGGAGGUAGCCUUAACAAAGUAAUGCUUGUAAUACCUUUGUCUCAAAUUUGGCUUAUAGCCAAUACCUACUUUCUGAAAAUCACAUUUUUGAGAGCUAAGCAAAUUAUCUAAAAUCUUUUUCCCAUUUGUAAAUUUUAAUAUAAUAUUGUUAAGCUUAUCGCUCUUUUUUGUACGCGUUUCAUUUUCCUUUUUUAAAUUAUUUACAGUAAACCUUCAUUCCUAGAUGAAACAUUUUAUUUUUCUUUAAAGAAUACAAUUUCUUCAUGCAAACUUUUUUUUCCUACUUCUAGGCACUUAAUCUUUUCAUUUAAAGUACAUUCUCAUUUGAAAAGUUUUACAUUUUUCUUUUUAAGAGAAGCAUUUUUCAUUCCUUUCUUCUUUAAGUAAUUAUGUAAUUCAGUAAAUGCUUCAAACAACUCAUCAUAAGAAGUGUAACAUCCAUUCUUUUUAUGUUUUAAUUUCAUUAUGCUUAUACAUUCACCUGUUUAUCUUUCGUUUGAGUGAUUUUAUUUUAAUUAACAUUAUUUGAGAAAAGUCAUAAAUUUUUUUUAUUAAUCUAUUUUUAUUAUUUACUUUUCUAAAAUAAAAUAUAAAGGAUUACCAUCUUUAUCAUAUAAUGUAUUUUUUUUAAAGCAAGUAUUUUAAUAAAACAUAAACUCUUCCUUUUUCCCUAUGAUUAAAAUUCUUUAACCUAAUAACUAUAUAAAAGCAAAGAAUUCUAGGGUUUUCUUUUAUGCAUGUUUGAAACAAGUUUUGAGGUAAUUAUCUUUCUCUAAUACAUGUUCUCUAAUCUUAUGUAUUUCAUAAUGAAUGCAUGCAUUGUUCUCUUUAUCAUGAAUGACUUGCUAGGCAUUAUGAGGCAUGAGUGUUAUGAUUUGAUUACUAUUUAUUUUUUAUUCAAUUUCUACACCAAAUUUUCAAAAUAUUAAACUAGACAUCCUAAGGUUUUCAAUGAUAUAUAUUUUUUCAAGGAGAUUCCAAUUAAUCAAUUUGUUGUGAAUUUUUGAAGUUGGAACAGUGAUGCUGGAAAAUUUUGAUUUUCAGCAGCAUGACUGAUUUCACGAUUUUUCUGUCUAUCUAAAUGAUCUCUGAAAAUUAUGUUGAUUUUUUUGUUUAAUCUUCAUUAUGUCAAAUUAUUGCAUGUUUAAUUUCAUAAUUUUUGGUUGUGUAAAAAAAUUAUAAAAAAUCAUUAUGUUGGGUUGCUGCAGUUCUGGAAACUGCUUUCCAGAAUUGCGGUUGCUGAUGGUGAAAUUAGUUUAGGCUAUUAAAAGGCUUUAGAAUGACCUAUAAAAAUUAUAUCCAUAUAAAAUUAUGAAUCCUAUAUGAUUUAUAAGUUAUGAGUUUGCAUUAAGUUAUGAAUUUUUGAAGUGCGGAACAUGAACCUGAAAGUUCCUGGAUAUGUUUGCUGGUCUCUUAAUAUAAAUUUGUUUAAAAUAGUUUUACAUCUUUAAAAAUUCUAGAAAUUUGAUAUAUUACUUUGAUUGUUUUGGAUUUUUAUAAUUUUCUAACAUAUGGUUAGCUUAGUAAAAAUCAGCUUGUAUAGGAUGGUCAGGUUUAGACUAGCUUUGAUAGUUUAGUACUUAUGACUAGACUUGAUUAUGUUGGAUUUAUAUCAAGGUCAAAAUAAGCAAUAAUAUUGAUAAGAAUGUGUCUUGAUGUUUUUGGACGAGAGUGAGCUCGUGGUUGAGGUUACCGUUCUUUUUAUUGUUGAGGAUCGAGGUAAGUAGAUUCUUGCAUGAUACAUGUAUUUCACUAUUAAUUUACUUUUAAUUUGAGUUAUGUAUUAUGUUAUAUGAAAAGUAUAUGAAACUGAUUUGUUUUAGUCUAUUAUAAUAUUUUGUUAAGUAAAAUCAUUUUUUAAAAUUAUUUAUAAUAAACUUUAUUUAUUAAAACUUGUUUUAUAAAUUGUCUUAAAAUGAAAGCUUUCAUUUUAAUAAGUCAAAUACUUUGAAAUAAUUAUGAAUUAUUUAAAUGUAAUUUAUGGAAGUUUACAAAUGAUUAAAAGUUCAAAGAUGAUUUUAUGUAUUUUGGCUCAUUGUCCGCAGUGAUGUUAUGUUAUGUUAUGGAAGAUUAGCCAGAUUUUGUGCAUAUAUGAUGUUAAUGUUAACGAUUUUCGCGGGGUACAGUACCCUGAAUGAUGUUAUAUGGCUGGGUCACCGGGUCUACUGGUGAUACUAUGUGACAUGAGCUAAUUACAUUUUACGUGUUUAAAAUGUUUUAUUUAUGCUUAAAGGAUUUAAAUGACUUUAUGAUGAUGUGAUUUAUUUUUACUAAAUGAUGAGUUACAAAGGUAAUAUUUCUUAUUAUUAUGUAUAUCUAAGAUUCUUUAUUAAAUUGUUUUUAAUGACUUUUAGUAUUGUGUAUGAAUUUACUUACUGAAUUGACGGUUCACCCCUUGUUACCACAUUUUUGCAGAUAGACUUAGAUGAUGCGAGCUCAUGGUCUUCAGAGGGAGAAUAAGAGCUCUGUUUCUUUUGAGGAUUAAUGUUACGUUGAUAAUCUAAGAACAAUUUAGCUUCUUUUAGGAUGAUAGUUAUUGAGGAUAUGUUAUUUCAAAAUUUAUUUAUAUUCUUUUGGAGGUUUAGAAAAUUUAUUAUUGGUUAUUACUUUGAAAGUUUUAAAUAUGAGAAUGAUGAAAUCCGGUUCACUUCAAUUCUACCGUAGUGCCUUGUUAGUGGAAUUAGAGUGUUACAAGAAGGAAGAUCAUUUAUCUCAUCAAGUUCUUCUCCUAUUGCCAUAAAUGCCAAGUUUGGCACUUCAUGUGAUUCUUCCUCAUCUGAGAUCUCCUUAUCGCUAUCAUCCCACGUUGGCACCAUAACUUUCUUUUUCGCCUUGUUGAGAAGAGGACGUUAUGAUUUUUUUUGUCCAGGCUUUUUGCAUUCAAAGCAAAUAAUUGUCUCCUUCUUUUCCUUCUGACUUUUAAAGUUCCUGAACUUCUUCCGCUCAUUAGAUUUCUUUAAAAACUUCCUUGAUUUUCUGGCUAUCAUAACCAUAUCUUCAUCUUCAAAUUUGCUUUCUUCGUCACUUUCCAAUCUUGAAGCUCUCAUGGUAAUGCUCUUCUUCUUUUUAUCUUUAUCACCUCUUUUAGUUGCCAAAUCCUUUUUAUAAGAAAUAAGUGAGCCAAUUAAAUCAUCAAUAGAUAUAGUAUUUAAAUCAUUGGCUUCGUCAAUGGUGGUUCUCUUAGAUCUCUAUUCUUUUGAUAAAGGCCUAAUGAUUUUCUAUACCUUCUCGCCAUUUGAAAAAGUUUUCCUUAGGGCUCCUAAGUAUUUACUAUAUCUGUAAAUCUAGUAUGCAUCAAAUGUACAAUUUCAUUUUGUUCCAUUUCGAACAAUUCAUAUUGCCUGAUGUAUUUACUAAUUUUAGACUCUUUAACUUGCUUUCUUCCUUCAUAAACAACUUCUAAAUUUCUCCAAAUUUCAUAUGCAUUGGAACAAACUGAAACUCUGUGAAACUCUUUCUUAUUUAAUGUACAAAAUGAGACAUUCAUUGCUUUGGAGUUUAAAAAUGUCUUCUUCUUUUCUGCCUCACUUAAUUCACGUGAAGGAUUUGGAAUUUCUUCCAUUUUUUUGUUUUUAGUGGUUAGCAUGAAUGGACAAUCACUAACGAUUUCCCAUAUUUUAUAAUAUAUGGCCUGUAAGUAAAUUCUUAUGCCAUUUUUCUAAUAUAGGUACUCAUUUCUGUAAAAACAAAUAACGGUAUAGGGGUAGACUGUCCUAACAAGAGAACCUUACUUUGAUACUAAAUGAAAUUCUGGCUAAGCAACCCAAGAGGGGGGUAAAUUGUGUUUUUUUUUAAAAAAUUAAGCAAAUAAAAGUAUACAACAAUAAUUAAUUUAAAGAAAUAAGGGAGAAGAGAGCAAACAUGAUAUUUUAAUGUGGAUUGGCAAACUUUACCUACAUUUGUGCCUCCAAGCUAACCGAGCUUGAGGAUUCCACUAUCUAAACCUUUACAACCUAAGGCUUCAAGAUGUUUACAAUUGACUUCCAAGGUGUCAAUUAGGGGUGGGCAUUUUACCCGACCCGACCCGACUCGAAAAAUUUCGGGUUCGAGUCGGGUUUACCCGAUCAGGUUGUAAAAAAAAAAAACCAAACUAAACCUAAACACACACACGCAGCACACUGCGCAGUACACACGCAAAGUCACUCACAACAAUUCACAAAUUCACAAACGCACACAGCCACACACCACCACAAGACAAACAAGAAUCAUUCACAACUUCACAAUUUCACUAUCAACACUCAACACAAACAAGCCAGCCGCAGCCAGCCACCACAAGACUCACACACACCAUGACACAAGACACAACCCUGAACCGCAAUCUGUUGCUACCAACUGCUGAAACCGCGAUUUGGUGCUGCCAAGUGAAGCAGCAACCAGCUACUGCCAAGUGAAACCCGUCCAGCCGUGAGCCGUCCGCGAUCUGCUGCCAAGUGAAGCCGCGAUUUGCUGCCGAGUGAAAUCGCGUCCAGCCGUGAGCCGUGGCCACCGAUCUGCUGCUUGAAGGCCGAAUCCUCACAACCCGACCCGACUUUCUCCCCACCCGAACCCAAUUUUGAAGCUUUCUACUUUCAAGCUUCAACUUUCAAGUUUCAUAAGUAAUAACUUUCAUGGUAUAUAUAUACUAUAUAAUUAUAUAUGCUUAAUUAGUUAUUAUGUAAUUGGUUAUUAUUUGAUUGUUGUAAUUAUGUAUUUAUAAAUAUUAGUAAUAAAAAUUGGUGUAUUUAUGAUUUUUUUAUGAAUAAAUUUUUAUUAAUUGUUAAUAAAUAACAAAACUUUUGUUAAUUAUUAAUAAUUGAAAUAAUAUUAAUUGAUAAUUGUUAAUAAUUUUUAUUUGUUAAUAACAGUUAAUAAUUGAUUUUUUAUGAAUAAAUUAGCACAUUAGGUAGAUUAAAUAUUGAAAUUAAGUAUUAUGUUGCAUAUAUUUUAUAAUUAUAAUGUGUUAUGUGAUUUUGUGCACUUGUGCAGUAGCUUCAAGCCUUCAACCUUAAAAAAAUUAACUCAUUCAAUUAAUAUUUUAUUGUAUGUUAAAUUGUUAAUCAUUCGUUAAUCGUUAAGUACAAGUAAUUUGGGCUUGAAAUUAAAGGGUUUAUAAUAAGAAUUAAGACAUAGAUAGGUAAAUAAUAUCAUAUUAUUAUAAGGAAUGGGUAAUUGGAUAUUAUUAAUUAAUUAAUUAAUUAUGAAUUUCUUGCUUUUUCUUUAUGGAGUAUGAACAAUUUGAAUUGAAAUUACUAAUUAGAUUAUGUUAAUAAUAUUUCUAUGUUUUGAUUUUUGAAUUAAUGAUUAUUUUUUAUAUUCAGAUGCUUGGACAUUCAAGAUCGAAUUCAAUGAGUGACGAAGGAGAACAAAUUGUACAAAUGGAAGGAACUCAAAGAGGAAAGGAAAAGGCAAAGCGGAAAAGACCGCCAAUGAAGAAAAGAUCAGAAGUGUGGAAUCAUUUCACUUUACUCGAAGAUAAUCCAAACAAAUGCAUGUGCAACUAUUGUGGUAGACAAUAUCAAUGUCAUUCAAGGCUUGAUGGGAUUACAAAUAUGACAAGGUAUUUAAAGACAUGUCAAUUAUACAAGACAUUUCGCGAACAACAAAGUGGAAGUCAACAAAAUUUUACAGCUGAGGGCGGCGAAGAAAAUGCAAGUAAUUUUGUUUUGGGUAAAGGAUGGAGUCAAGACACGUGUCGAAGGACAAUAACUAAAAUGAUUAUUAUGGGUGAGUUGCCGCUCAGUUUUGUAGACAACAAAGGAUUUAGGCAUUUCUACAGUGUAGCUAUCCCGCAGUUCGUUAUGCCAUCUCGAAGAACUAUUGGUAGAGAUGUUAUGGAGUUAUUUUUGGAGGAAAAGGCAAUGUUGAAGAGUUUGAUUUGCAAUAACAAGCAGCGGGUGUCUCUUACAACUAAUUUAUGGACUUCUGUUCAAAACAUGAGUUACAUGGUGAUUACAACUCAUUUUAUUGAUAGUGAUUGGUGUUUGAUUAAGAGGAUUAUUAGUUUUAACGCAAUCAAAGAUCAUAGAGGGAAGUCGAUUGGCAAAAAGAUUAUGGCUUGCUUACAGAACUGGGGGAUUGAGAGGUUGUUUCCAAUAACUAUUGAUAAUGCCACUACAAAUGAUAUUGCUAUUGGUUAUGUCACUAUGCAGUUGCUUGCUUGGAAGAAUGAUGAUGCACUUGUGUUGGCGGGACAAUUUAUGCAUGUGCGUUGUUGUGCACAUAUUUUGAAUUUGAUUGUUGUUUUAGGAUUGGGUGAGUUGCAUGCUAGUGUUGCCGCUAUUCGGAAUGCUGUGAAGUACGUGAGAUCCUCCACCACGAGGCUGGGAACAUUUAAACAAUGUGCUGAGCAAGUGAAUUGUCCAAAGGGAAUUGUUGUUUUGGAUUGUCCUACUAGGUGGAAUUCCACUUAUUUGAUGUUAUGACUGCGCUGAAAUUUCAAGCGGCAUUUAAUAAAAUGACAGAAGUGGAUAAAUCGUAUGAGGCAUACUUUGCUAAGAAAGAGAAUAAUGUUAGAAGGGUGGGCCCGCCUGGAUCGGAUGACUAGGAGAAUGCUGAACGAAUUAUGGGAGUCCACGAGAAAGAUAAACAAAAUGUUGAUUAUUGCCUCUAUUCUUGAUCCACGAGCGAAAAUGGAUUUUGCUAAACAUAUUUUUGAGAUCAUUUUUGGCAAUGAUAAUUUUAUGGUUGAACAAAUGACCAAAGCAGUGAAGGACUUGUUGAAUGAGUUUUAUGAUGCAUAUAGUGCAUUCUCCGCUUGUUCCACACCAUCGAUGUAUAGUGAGAGUGGUCUUAAUGGCAGCUAUGGAGGUACAAGUUCUUCUUAACAUUUUACAACUGAGGCUAAUUUGGUGGAUGUUGCUGGUGGUGAAGGUGAUGACGCUUUUCUUGUUGCUCGCCCUUUCUUUGGAUAUGCCAGGAAGGUUUCUAUUCAGAAUGAGAGCAAAAGAGUAGUAUCUGAGGUGGAAAGGUACUUGAAGGACCCAGUUAAAGAUCCCAUCAAUCUUAAACUUAAUGUUUUGCUUUGGUGGAAGGUGAAUGGAUCGAGGUAUCCAAUUCUGGAGAAAAUUGCAAGGGAUGUACUGGCUGUUCCUGUUUCCACAGUGGCAUCUGAGUCUGCCUUUAGCACCGGGUGUCAUAUUAUUGAUGAGUAUAAGAGUUCUUUAACCCCGGCUAUGGUUGAGGCAUUGAUAUGCACUGAAAAUUGGCUGCAGUCUAAACUUUUUGCCAAUCUCGUCUACAACCUCCAAGAAAAUAUUAAGGAGCAAAUGUUUCAUAUGGAAUUACAAGAAGGUAAUGUUUUUAAUUUUUUAUCAUACAUUAUAUACAUAAUGUAUUUAAAAUGUAUUAUAACGUUAUAUAGAACAUCUACAUGUAGUCAUGUACUUGAGUUACUAAUUUUUUUUUUUUUUUUGGAUUUUAUAGAGCUUAUAAGAUCGCAAGCUUUGACAGUGGAAGCGGUGAGCACCGACAUUGGUGUUAUGGAUGUUUGAAAUGUAACUUUUAAUGUAUAUUAUUAUUCAUAAUUUGAUAUUAUAGUACUAUUAGUAUUAGGUUGUAAUUUAAACUAUAAUUAUAGUUGUUAUAGUUUUAAAUUUUUAAGUCUAAUUAUAGUUUGUAAAAUUAUAAAUUUGUAAUUGUUUUAGUUAGACAAGUUGAAGUUGAUAGAAUGGUAUUAUUCUCUAGUAUUAUUAUUAACUUGAUUUAGUGAUGAAUGCCAUAAAAUAAGCAUGAUUGACUUAAUUAUAUAUAUAUAAAGUGUGUGUGUAUUGAAAAAUUUGCUAAACAUAUUAUAUUUAUUUGUAAUUAUAAAUUUAUAAUGAUAUAAUAGAAAUUAGAAAGAUUGUAACACCCCUUUAGCUCAAUUAAAAAUAUGAAUUGGAUUUAUUUAUUUGUGUUUGUGUUUGAUGUGUAACCUUAUGAAUUUGGUUUAUUUGCUCAAUUUUUUAUAUGAAUUGUUCAUUUGCAACGUGGCUUAAAGAAAAUAGUUAUUGUACAUUUCUUCAAUCUUUCUCUAGGGAAUCGGCGCUUGAACUUGGAGUUCAAGAAUUUAAAUUUAGAACUUGUCAAAGUGCUUGCAUGGAGCUAUGGAGGAACCAAGGUGGAGGAACCAAUGAAGCUUAUUUAGUUUUAAUGUUUGAACUUUGAACUUUGUGAUUUGUGUUUCAAACUUUCAAAGACUAAUAUUUGGAAAUUGUGCUUUGGACUUUGUAAGUUUGUAUUAAUUUUAACUUUUGUUAAGUUUGGACUUUGUUGGCUGAGCAAAUAAGCAUCCUAAUCCUACCCUCCAAGCCAAUAGGCAAAUAAUCUUAUCCUAGCAUUUUAAUUUUAUUCAUUUGAUUUAAUAGCAUUUUCUUUUCUUUUUUUUUAGUUGAAAAUUAGUAAAAAUGACUACAAUUAAGAAAAAUGUCUUAAAACCACCUUAAAAACUACAAAAAUAGGAAAAAAAAGCUCUCAAGAUAUUGACCCGACCAGAUUUGACCCGAUUUCAACCAACUCGAACUGACCCAAUUUGACCCGAACUGACUCGAUUAGACCCGAAAUGACCCGAACUCAAUCCGACCUGUUUUAAAUUCAACCUGAUCCAACCCAAACUUAACCCGAAUUAUUGACCCGACCCGAUCCGACCCGAAUAUCAAUAAUUCGGGUUAAGUUUGGAUUGAUUUUUGUCUAACCCGAACAACCCGAAACCCGAUCGGGUUGACCCGAACCCGACUCGAACCCGGUUUUGCCCACCCCUAGUGUCGAUAAAACCUUUACAAUAUGAGAUAAUCUCUCACCCCUUUCCCAAGGUUUUCCCACGUUUACAUCACUCAAAUUUGAAGAUUAAAAAUAGAUUUUCCCUUACGCAGUGUAUGUGUUUACAAAUGAAAGUUCAAAGUGUGAUUUGAUAAAGGAAUAAACAAAUUUUAGCUCAGAACAGAUUGAACAAGCAAUGAUAAACUUGAUGAUAAUCGUUGAACACAUUUAUAAAUUAUAUUUGAUGAAGCCUUUUAUAUAUGAAGAAGAAAAUUGGUGGUUGUUGAUUUUCUAAAAAUUAUUGGAUCGCCGUUAACCUUAGCAGAUUUACUAUUCUGACUUGUGGUAAGUAACUGUUAUGCUGAAAUUGAAUUAUUGAAUCACCAUGUGAAAUUAUCGAUAUACCAUUUAAUUCCAGAGAGUUCACUGAUUAAAGUGGCUUGUUGUUUUCGCAUAAUGGUUUGCUAUUUAAUUCCAGAAGCUCACCUGUUUGAAGUUAGUUUACCUUCUGCGAGUAAUGGUUUGUCAUUUUUAGAUAAAUUCAUUUUUAGAAUUUAUCAGUUAGUCGUCUUCUCAUAAACGGUUAACUGUUAAUUUCUAGAAGCUAUUAAUAACUCAACCAUAUGUUAUUAGUUUUGUUGUUUUAAACUUAAUGGUUAUCUGUUAGUUUCCCGAACCUUAAUCUUGUCCAGAAUAUUAUGCGGCCUAAGAAAUUUGAUCAAUUUAAAGACUCCAUCAUUUUUAAUCUUAUUUGUUAUCAUCAAAAUCAAUGUUAUAAGAAUGUUUAUGUCAACAAUGGCAGGUGCGACCAUGUGAGGCUUUGUGUGUGUGUAUGUAAGUGUGCGUGGUUGUGGGUUUGGUUUUUUAUUUUUUUUCCUUAAUCUAAUUGGAUUGUCGGAUCAGAUCGGGUUUGAGCUGAUCCAUAUACAAUCCGAUCGGAUUAACAAAAGAUCAUCUAAUCUAACUUGUCCUUCAAUCCGCAUUUGAUCUAAACCCGAAAUAUUCGAAUCUGAUAGGGUUAUUUGCUCACCUUUAGACUAUAGAUGUUUAUAAUGAUGGUUUAUAAAUAAUAAAGGUCAUCUUUGUCAUUACAGUAUAAUGUUGUUUUUUCAUGUAACUGUCAUCUUUGAUGUUAUUAAAAAAAUAAAAAUUUUAAAACUAAUUCAAACGCUAUUUAAUUGUCAUUUUGUAUCGAAUAUACAUUUAUAAUUACUUUUGUACAAACCAUAUCAUAUACAAGAUAUUGCUUUGUAAAAACCUUAGAUAAUCCUUCAUCUUCAACAAAAUAUUAGCCAUUACAGUAAAAUUAUCAUAAAUACUCUUCAGUAUCUGACAAAAUCCACUACUAACUAACAAAGUUCUCAUAGUCUAAUAUAAAGAGCUUUCACAAUCUUUCAUCUUCAACAAAAUAUUAGCUCUCCCACAUGUACUCUAGCUACCACAUUUAAAUUCUCAUCAAGUCUUCAUGCAAUAUUUUCAAGCAAAUCAUACUGUCACUAGGAACCUACAACAUUUUUUUGCAAAGUAACAAAAAAAAAUAAGUAUAUCAAACUCAUUUGUUGCAAGUCAUAUUAAAUCAUGAUAAGUUAGAGAACAAAAUGCUAUUAUAUAUUUAUAGACUAGCCUUAAAUUAUCAAUCAAUUAAUUUUCAUAUGUAGCAGCAAGUUGCCAUGUAUAUAUCUAGCCCACUCCCAUCUAACCUCAUCAAUCUCUCCUUGAGCAUAGCUUUGUGUCUUUAAAAACUAUGAAGUGAAAAAUAUAUAAAUUACCUAGUUGUAAAAACAUAAAUGAAUAUUUAAUAAAAAUUGCCAAUAUCUUUUCUAGAAUAAAGACAUAGUAUUAGACAUAAUGUCUCAUAUAAUAUCUACAAUGCUCAACAUUUUUAGGUUGAUGAGGACACCACAAAAGAGAAAGUAAUAGAUUUAAGUUAUACAAUGAGCAAAUUCAUGUAACAACGAAUUAAAAAUCUUAUAUAAAACUAUUAUGAAUUUCAAUUUAAGACUCAUGUUCCUUACUUGCUACGAUUAAUUUUUCAUGUGCUGUGCUAAACAUUCUCAACGAACUUAAUUUCAAAAUUGAAAACCACAUAUUAGUAACUAAUAUAAGAAAAUACAAGUAAACAAGCACAAUUUCAUAACUUACUAAUUAAGAAGCUCUUUUAAGAUUUUAUCAAUAAAAAAGUCUAGUACUUCACAUUCCGAAAAUACCGGCUAAGCAACCCAAGAGGGGAGUGAAUUGAAUUUCUAAAAAUUAUAAAGUAUUUUAAAUAAAAAAUUUAAUGCAAAGAUAGAACAAAUAAAAACUAAAUAACAACAAUAAAAAUGUAAAGAGAAAAGAGAGAGAAAGAAUCAAACACGAGAUUUUUAUAUGGUUUGGCAACCUACGCCUAUAUCCACGCCUCCAAGCUCAUCGGACUUGAGGAUUUCACUGACCAAGCCUUACACCUUAAGGCUUCAAAUUUUUUUACAAUUGACUUACAAUGUGUCAAUCAACCUUUAUAACAAGAGGUUAUCCCAAACUUCUUAACUCAAAUGUUUCCCUCACUCUCAAACACUCAAUUUGAUAUUGAAAUGAAAAUUACACAAAAUGUUUCUUCAUACAAUGUAGGUGUUUACAAAGUAUGAUCUAAAAAGUUUUAAGCACAAGAGAUGUUUAAUGCACAACAACAAGCUCAAUGAUGAUUGCAGAAUCAACACUAAUUUGAAUUUGAUAGAGCCUUUUUAUAGUUGGAGAAGAAAACUAACCGCUGUUGACUUUCUAGGCAUAAUCAGAUCACCGCUAACCUCUGUCGAAUUGUCGUUUUGACUUUAUGCAAGUAAUUGUUAUGCUAAAAUUUGAAUAGUUAGUUUACCAUUUGAAGUUGUUGGUUUACCGUUAAAUUCUAAAAACUAAUUUGCUCAGGGUUGGCUUACCGUUUGGAGUUGUCGAUUUUCCGUUUAAUUCCAGAAAUCUGCAAGAAAUAAUUGGCUACCCGUUUGUGCUAAAUGGUUCACUGUUUUUAGCUAAAUUGCUCUCUGAAAUUUAUCAAUUAACUGUUUUCUAAUAAACAGUUCACCGUUUUCUCAUAAAGAGUUCACCGUUAUCUUUCAGAAUCAGAACUAAGUGUUAUCUUUAUAAAAUCGGUUUGCCGUUUCAAGAUUAACAAUUAUCCGUUUUUGUCCAGAUUCUUAAACGGUUAGCCGAUUAAUCAAAUUGUUGCAUAACGGUAACUUCCACAAGAUCAAAUGACGAUCCAAUAACCUCCAGAGUCUACAACAGCUAGUUUUCUUCUCUAACUAUAAAAGGCUCUAUCAAAUUCAAUUUAGAGUGAUUCUAUAAUUGUCAUUAAGCUUGUUUUUAAGCUUGUUUUUGCAUAUCAAACUGUCUUGAGUAUAAAUUUGUUUACUCUUUCAUCAAAUCACACAUUGAGUUUUCAUUUUUAAACACAUACAUUGUGUGAGUGAGAAUUUGUGUAAUAUUCACUUUUACAUCAAAAUGGAGUGAUUGAUAAUGUGGGAAUCACUUGGGAAAAGAGGUGUGGAAUCAUCUUAAAUUGUAAAAGUUUAUUGACACUUUAGAAGUUAAUUGUAGUCUUAUUGAAGUCUUGGGGUUGUAAGGCUUGAAUAGUGGAAUCCUCAAACUUAGUGAGGCUGGAGGUGUGGAUAUAGUCAGGUUUUGCCGAACCAUGUAAAAAUCUCAUGCUCGAUUCUCUUCCUUUCUCUCUUUAAAUUUUUUUAUUGUUAUUUAAUUGCUAUUGAUUUGGUUAUAUUAGAAAUUUACAUGUUUUUUUUAUAUUAGAAUGUUAAUUGACUAUAUGUAGUUCCAUCUUUAAAAAGUUCAGAAGCAAAUACUUUUUUUCUUUCAAUAAUUAUACAUAUGCGGCUACCCUAUAGUCUAUAGAAGAGUAUUGGCAAUAUUUAACUAGAACCAAAAUCUCCAUAUAUGCCAAUUUCUCCAAUUUUUAGAGAGUAAUUGUUUCCUUGAUUUUAGGCCACACCAUCCUUUAGUAAUAGGCAUUUCCGCAAUUACGGAUUGUUGAAUGGAUCUAUUAAAGGUAGGACACGUCCUUUUUAACUUCAAUAUUUUCUUUUGGUUGACCUAAAUUCUCAUGCAAUCAGAUUGUUUUGGUAUACCUUGUUUUGGUCGGAUUAAUAGACUUCUAGGUCGGACUUGUUAAGCUAAUUUAUCUUAAUAACACUGUAAAUUCUAGGCCAGCUUAAGUUGAUUAUUCUCUUUGGUGACAUUAGAAAAAUCCAGCCCCAAACAAGUGUCGAUGAAUGAAUAUCGGCAUCCAGAUGAUUGCGAAUCGAUUUUCAGAAAACACAUAACAUUAACUAGAAAAAUUCGGCCACAAAAAGCCUGUAACUACAGCUCCAUAAUCAUGCAGUCCAGACCAGCUGCCUUCCACGUAUUGCGUCAUCAGUUUAUAGUCCGAAAAUUUUUCUAAUUAUAUCACAAAAAGGUUGUUUGGUCCACUCAAAACUGUGUGUGGGCAGGGAUGGCAAAAUCCUUCGGGUCUGGGUCCGGGUUUAGCCUUUCCGGUUCUAGAUCCGGAUGAUAAUUUUGUAUUUCGGAUCCGGAUAUAAACCCGAAUUUUUUGGCUCCGGGUCCGGUGUCUGGGUUUCCGGAUGCCAGGUUUAAAACCCAGAUAACUAAAUGAACUAAAAAAAAUAAACCUCUUUCAGGUUAUGAAAAUUCCAGAAAGAGUUCAAAUCGCAAGCACUGAUGAAUUGAAGGAUUAUAGAUUCUUUACAAUUGAGACAACUUGAAUAUAAAUGAAUUGAAAUGAAUCAUGAUUUAGAGAUAAAAGUUGACCCACAUAUGUUAAUAUCACCUCAGAGCACUAUUAAUUCCCAAGAAGCAUGUAUGUUGAUGAUGUAAUCAAAGAUGAAUGGUGACGCGAUGAAGACGAUGGUGAAUCAUGGAUGGCAACGCGACGAUUUGAUGAAGACGAACGGUGGCGCGACGAUUUGAUGAAGAAGAACGACGACGGGAUGAAUUGAAUAUUGAGGAUGAUGAUGAGCUGUUGAUGAUGAUGCUUGGGGAUUACUUGAAUAUUGACAAGGAUGAUGACAAAUUGACGAAUGAAUUUAGGCUUUGUGGCGUGAAGAUUGAAGAAGGUGAGAGAAGAGGAGAAAUGGGGCUGUUGCGGCUGCUAGGGGUGGGCAAAAUCGGGUUCGGGUCAACCCGAUCGGGUUUCGGGUUGUUCGGGUUAGACAAGGAACAAUCCGAACAUAACCCGAAUUAAUGACCCGACCCGAACCGACCCGAACAUAGUUCGGGUCGGGUCAUUGAUUCGGGUUAUGUUCGGGUUGGAUUUAAAAUGGGUAGGAUUGAGUUCGGGUCAAUUUGGGUUAGUUCGGGUCAAUUCGGG
Molecule: long non-coding RNA, 14334 nt
Filed under: Citrus sinensis (sweet orange)
Lineage: Eukaryota; Viridiplantae; Streptophyta; Magnoliopsida; Sapindales; Rutaceae
Description: long non-coding RNA (CSIN_LNC004627)
Source: RNAcentral